Molecule: ribosomal RNA, 459 nt
Filed under: uncultured bacterium
Lineage: Bacteria
Description: partial 16S ribosomal RNA
Rfam family: Bacterial small subunit ribosomal RNA
Source: RNAcentral
CCUACGGGAGGCAGCAGUGAGGAAUAUUGGUCAAUGGACGCGAGUCUGAACCAGCCAAGUAGCGUGAAGGAUGACUGCCCUAUGGGUUGUAAACUUCUUUUAUAUGGGAAUAAAGUGAAGUAUGUAUACCGUUUUGUAUGUACUAUAUGAAUAAGGAUCGGCUAACUCCGUGCCAGCAGCCGCGGUAAUACGGAGGAUCCGAGCGUUAUCCGGAUUUAUUGGGUUUAAGGGGAGCGUAGAUGGGCGUUUAAGUCAGUUGUGAAAGUUUGCGGCUAAACCGUAAAUUGGAAUUGAUACUGGGAGUCUUGAGUGCAGCUGAGGUAGGCGGAAUUCGUGGUGUAGCGGUGAAAUGCUUAGAUAUCACGAAGAACUCCGAUUGCGAAGGCAGCUUACUAAACUGCAACUGACACUGAUGCUCGAAAGUGUGGGUAUCAAACAGGAUUAGAUACCCGUGUAGUC